UUAUGUCUUUCAUUAGACAACGGGGGGCUUUGUACGCGUCACCUUUCAGUUUCUGAAUUGUAGCGCCUACAGCCCCUGUCUGAACCCGUGUUUUUGCGUACUACUUGUUUCCUUGGUGGGCUUGCCUGCCAAAUGGACCACAUUAAACCCUUGUAAUUGCAAUCAGCGUCAGAAAAUAAUAAUAAUUACAACUUUCAACAACGGAUCUCUUGGCUCU
RNAcentral lists this unclassified non-coding RNA (217 nucleotides) under rhizosphere metagenome. Its description in RNAcentral is "partial ribosomal RNA internal transcribed spacer region". The record is from RNAcentral.